This is a non-coding RNA of Aspergillus avenaceus, 84 nucleotides long. The record is from the annotation of a GenBank genome assembly. NCBI's taxonomy places the organism in Eukaryota, Fungi, Ascomycota, Eurotiomycetes, Eurotiales, Aspergillaceae.
GCUUCGGUCGUCUAGUGGUUAGGAUGCCAUCUUCCCAUCUAGAGGGAUAAGGUGGUCACGCGGGUUCGAAUCCCGCCCGAAGCA